Molecule: non-coding RNA, 8657 nt
Organism: Anas platyrhynchos (mallard)
Lineage: Eukaryota; Metazoa; Chordata; Aves; Anseriformes; Anatidae
Source: RefSeq, a predicted model, not a curated record
UUAGCAUUUAGCACCUUAUCAACGAGCUGGUGGGGUCUCAGCAGGUGUGUGCCUGAUGCCAAAUGGAUGAUAGAGGUCGGUCUGCUGCAGGUGGGGCCAGAGAGGCUUCAGCAAGCCUUGGGCUGCAGGGAACCUCCCGGAGCUGGGCAAAGAGGACAAUUGCAUAAUUGCUCUGAACUCCAGUACUGAUUAGAGCUGUAUGCUGAUGGUACCGACGCAGUUCCUUCUAGUGGGGACGAUGUCUCACGACUGGUGCAUUUUGCAGAAGGAAGAGGUGCUUUGUGAACAGUAAGACUGUUUCCUUUACUCAGCUGUUGCAGCAGGAAGUUGUUUGUGGACACUAAAGACCUGGGAAAGAUUGUUGUGGGAAAAAAGAUUAAAAUGGGGUACUACGAUAAGCACACGUGAACUAGGACUGGAGGAGUUCUGCUGGAACACAGGUGCCACCUCCUGUUGUGACUCUGCUUGUUCCGUACCUGAGGCCAGCCCCUACCUCUGGCUCUCCUGCAGAAGAGCCACCAUCUCCUGGAGUCCGGUUGAAUCUGUUCUAGGCACAUUUUUGGAUCAAAAGUUUUUUGAUGUACUGCUGUACUGAGCAUGCCUCUAACAGGACUGUCUGUUCUGAAAGACAAGGGGGAUUGUGGAAUCCAUUGGCUGGAGGUUACACCGAACAAAAAAAUCACUAGAGCAGCCUGUGAAGGGUUGUGGUCCUUUGUUACACAAAGCUUUUAAAACUCAGGGCUGAAGGACUGGCUAAAAUGCAUCCUGCAGUGACCCUGCAGCACCCAGGGCACAGAACUGUAUGGCCGCUGCUACAGGGCAGCUCAGAACAGAUGCUCAAACCUACUUGGCCAUCAAACUUGUGAGGCUAUCUCCAGUUACACAGCAGCUGUCACCGUGCAUACUGACUACUAAAGUGCUGGACAAAUGGAGAUUAAGGCUUGGACCACUGUCAGGUUGACUGUAAGGCUAGGACAGAUUGAAAAUAUCAGAAAAUCAUCUUUAGUUUGUGGGGAAGCUUGUGCUGGUCUGUCAGCAGUAAAGGAAGCCAUCCGAUUAUGUUAGUGUUUCCUUGUUACAUUAAUCUUUUUCUUAUUGCACAGUGUAUAAAAGCUCCUAGAAAACGCAUAAGUGGCAUAGCUGGUACUGGCAUAACGCAUGAAUGGUUGCAUUGUGACCAUUCUUGUGAGCCUUGUAAGGCCACAUCAGCCACCAUUUACUUGAUGUACCAUAGCCCAGGGGGCUAUAAAUGAAUCCUUCCACUUCUAAAAGAAUAGCUUGUACAGCUGCUAAGGAGAAGACCCCAGUUUCAUUCCUUACUCUUCACAAUCAUUGUGAGCUUACCUUGAAGCAGAAAACAAAAGUAAUUUGAACAGUCACAUUGCUCACAAUAAAUUAAAGCUAAGUCAUUUGGCCCUACCGUACAUGGAUGCUUGGUUCCUUUGGAUGUGAUAACUUGAAGCAGCAGGAUGAUCCAUCUUGUGUAAUGUGGAAGCUGAGACAUGACUUUCCACCAGUCCUUUUUCUUGCUGCUGCAACAAAUAUUCCAGUUGUGACAAGAUAAAACAAAACCAACACAAUACAAUACAAGAAAACAACAAAGGGUUCCUGAAUCAAGUUAGCAUUAAGAGAAAUGAAACACUCUUCUGCAGUUUUGCCAAUACCCGAUAAGCUCCUAGAAGCCUUUCCAGUGAUGCUGCUGAGCCCUCUGAACAGCGAUAAUGACAAUGAGUGUAACAUGGCAUGAAUUUAAGUGAACCCUUAUGUCACUGCUUUGAAGUAUUUGUUUGGAACACACUAAAGAAAAAAGCCAUUUUCAAAGCAUAGGUGUAGAAGAAUAACCUAAACAAACAGUAACAUCUGAAACACAAAAAGAUAUCCAGGCAUUUUGGCAGGGAGCUUAGGUGAUGUCAGAAAACAAAUCUAAACAGAAAUGUUUCUAUGGAUUUAUUUUUUUUUUGAGAACUAAUUGGAAACAGAUUUUAGGUUUGGAUUUAAACUUAUCCUUGCAGCAUCUGCAAUGCUAUUCCUGUGCUAUGCAUUUUAGUCUCAAGAAGUACAAGUUUGAGGCUGUAGAGCAAAGGAAGGAAAAACCUGGCAUCUUCCUGCUCACAUUAUUGCCAUGGACUUAGCUGGUGGUCUUGAGAAAGUCAUUUGACAUGGUUUUUCCUGGGAUUUUUAGCCAGUAGACUUCAAAGUAAAUUACAAAAUCAAAAGAAAGUCCUAUCCUUUGAGCUCUCUUCUUCCUGCCCUCAUAAAUUAGCAUUUUUUGCCCUACUGCGACAGAGUUUUGAGAGCAAUGAAGAGCUCAGCAUAGGUCAACAUCAGAACGGGAUGAUCCAGGGCUCUUCUCUAGGUGGACUGCACAGAUUUUGAACUCCUAGAAGGAUGGGUAUCUUAUUGAACCCAAUCAUCUCAUUUGCUGUCUCAGUGUGUUAGAUCCACUGAGAAAGAGAUACCAGUCUUCCAUUGGAUCAAGACAUUAAUUCGUUUUGUUGCAACUCACGGCCACACAUUCGUUAAAUCCAACCUGAGGAAGGGAGCAGGAGCACUGCUAGAGGCAGUCUAGUGGACCAGGACUCAUCCUGUCUGUGACAGGCUGCAAUAAGAUCACAUUGAGUAAAACAAAGCCACAGCUGAAAUACAUGUGCAACAUCUGGGAAAUGCAGUAAUUUGAGCAGCUAUGGCACUUGGCCCUACAUGGAGGAUGAUAAGCUAAAACUGUUGCUAGAAGUCUUGCUGUGGAGUAGACAGGCUCACAUCUUUUCUGGGUUGGACAAGAGACAAAAAUCAGUAGAAACAGGCCUGUGGAGGCAGGAUGAUGAAUGUUUGUUUGCUUGUUUUCCUGGGAACCAGAAGAAGCCAGUAUGCAGCCAAACAGCUCCUCUCCGUGGCAGCUGCCCGACCAGCACAGACACUGUUAAAUAAUGCUAGAAAUGGGGGCAAAAUCUGGAAAGAAUUACAAUUACAAACAGGAUGAGCAAGAAGGUGUUGGUUGAUCCCAGCACCUGUGAGAAGAAAAGGCUUCCGACCUGCCUUGCUAAGGACAAGAGGACUACUGUGUGCUUUCCACCCUUAUUCACCCCAGACUCAAGAGGAAAAUGUAUCAGGACUUCACCAUUAUCUCAGAAAAACUAGAGCAAGCCCAAAGCCCUAACUACAGCUACUCAGACAUUUUCAAACAAAAGUCUUGCCAGGAGAUAUCAGUCCACUGAACAGGAGAUACUUGCAAAUAAAAUAUAUGAGUCUCAACAAACUUCUACUACAAAAAAGGUUGGGGAGAGCAGAGACCUUGUGGGGAACCUUGGAUACCCUGUCUCAGGUAUUAAGGAAGUGCUCUUAUUUCAAGGUGCCACAAAUGUGAUACUUCCCAGAAGAAUCAGCCUGUUGAUCCCAAAUAGAAGGAGCAAUCAGAAUGCAUGACUGGAAAUCCUGCUGGAAGAUGUCUUUUCUCCAUAUAAUUAAAUCAGGUGAUUAAUCCUUUCACAAUUUCAUUAUUACAAGGAAGUUAUCCUCAUUAAAAAGUUCGCGAUAAGGUCAUUUUCUUACUGAAUUUCCAUUAGUACAUUGACAAAGAAAGAGAACUAAAACCACCUACCGCAGCAGAAUCCUUUCUAUCGAAUAGUUCAGUAUUUUUAAGCUGAGUCCUUUGGACUUUGGGAAUGUUUCUAGCUAAGACUGAAGAGGAGCGUCCAGCUGUCAGAUGAGCAUCCUGCUGUGGAUCAGUACAAGCCACCAGGUGGAAAAGCAAGUCUUGGGCAGGAACUACAGAGAUACAAAAAGAUUUUAACAAAAAUCUAAAAACUGUGGUGUUUUCAUACAUAACAUUCUGCUAACAAAAGAGUAGAACAAGGUCCCAGAAUAUCAGACUUGCAGUCAAUAACAACAACAAAGUAGAGAGGUAUGGUGAAAUACAUUCUUGACUUUAAACACAGAUUGAGAGAAAGCAGAAAAAUGUUUAAGAUCAAGCAUCUAUAUGAAAAGCUUACCAAGAAAAUCCUUGUUAACCAGGAGAGAUCCAGGCCCAUUCCAGUGACAAUCCACCAGCCUCAGGAGCUGCUGAAGGACAGCUGUAACCUUGGACUCUUUUUCACUUCCAGUGGCACUCUGACCUUCUGUGACAGCAGUAUCAUUACUUAGCUCACUGGAAGAAGACUAAUGAGAAAAAGCCAAAGCUAUUUACUUUCUCAGCUGAUGUCUGCAGUACAUCUGCUAGCACCUCCUGCCUUAGCUGGAUGCACUUAACAGGUGCUUAUGCCUGCACUUUUCCAACUGGGCACAAACAAAUUAGAGGCACAGGAUGAAGCUGAGUUUAUGUGAAAGCAUACACAAAUGAUCUCCAGUGGACCUGCAUUUUGUACAGUUUUUCAGUAGUGUAUUGGAAGUGUGCUUUUUGUCACUCCCUGUGCAGUAACAUCACACUGAAAAUUCAUGUUCUCUGUCCUGAAACCCCUUUUUCGGAAUCACUGUUUUCCCUAGGCUCUGUCAGAGAUAAACAGCCUCUCCCACUACAUGUGCCUUCCGUUCCUGUAGCAAAGCAGGUGCCUGUUAUUAUAAUUAAUGGCAGUGACAUUUAUAUAGUUCAUUAUCACAUUUUUAUAUUUAUUUUCAACAUCCUAUGGCAUUGAAAACAAACUGAAGACAUACAUGGACAAAUGGAUAAAAUUGUCUCUGCAGUCAACUGAAUGGUAAAUGCAAAGUGAGUGACGAUGCAGCAUAGGAUUUGUGCCAGGGCUUUGCGUGUGAAUGGGAUGAACAGGACACAAGAGAGUCCAUACAAGCCAAGAGCUAAAGGACAGGUGCUCAGAGGCUUGUAUAAUGUAUAGCACAAUAAAGGGAUGGGGAAAAUGGUUAUGUAAAAUGUCUGCCUGUAUUGUUCUGAAGCAUAAACAGUUUAAGAUUGAAGAGACCACCCCAUCCGGCCCUUCUGAUGCUUGUUCUAUACUCCUGCCUGUUAUUCCUGUACUGAACAUAGGAAAUGACCUGUAUAAAUGUAGAGAAGGAAGACAUCUCCCCUUAACUUGGGAUACUGAGAGACAGAAAACCCACUGUCUCAUUCUUACUUCACUGUGAAAAAAUGUUUCUCGUUCUAAGUCUCUCUGCUCUUCAGUGGUUAACAUUCGAUCAUUGACCCCCACUAUGUGCUCCUGUAACAGCCUAGAGGCUCCUAACUUAUGUCAGCCUGAAGUAGCUGGGGGGAGGAUGAACAGCGAAGGCAGCAGAGACACCAGGGAACUACUUUGUUCAUUGUAGCUUCUCUACUUCACAUGCACACAGGAAAACAAGAUGCACAUCUCAUAAAAGUGGCUAUAAAUCACUGCAGAUUGAGUGCUCUUUGGUCCUAAGGUCAGUUAGAGGUGCUCAGGACAACUGUACAGGCUGCUUGCUGAAAAAUUAUCACAGUACUGCCAACACUGGCUCUACACAGUUCAGCUGCUUUCAGACUGCUGGAGCAGCAGUGGAUGGUUUUAGGUAGUUUUGUGCUACUGGCUUUUGAAGAUGCAGAAGCUAUUUUGUAUUAUCUGUACAGAACAUUUUUAUACUAGGAGAUUUCCGUUAGCAUCUCAAUUUACACCUAUGCAUUUGUGAAGAACAAUGACAAGUAAUACAAUACUUGCCUCCUUGUGAGAGUCUUUGAAGCAACAAAUGGGAGACAUCGGGGGAUGCAGGGUCUCACUUUGCUUAUAUUCCACUCUAGCUGGGCUGGAGGACCUGCGAGCUGCAGGUUCUCUGACCUUCUCAGGUACUGAAGGUAGCAUGGCUGGUUUCAUCAUUAUAGACUUCAAGUUCUCCAGUAACACUUUAGCUGAUAAUGAAGUUGCAUCUCUGAACCCUGCAGAUAAAGUACAAAAAUGACUGGCUAGUAGAGCAGAGCUACGGAUUAGAGGCAUGCAGUUUGACUAUAAAGGACCACAUCUUCACAAAGACACACAUUUUCAAAAGUAUAUAGGGGAUUAUCCCUUUUAAACACCAAUGUCUUGUUGAUUUCGGCAUAAAUUAGUCAUCCAAACGCCAUCAAGGAUCUGUGUUUUUGACUGUCAACAAGCUGGAUAGAAGUGUGUAUUUCACUUAGAAGAGUCCUAAAAUUAAUCUAUUGACCACAGAUUUUGGAAAUGAAAUACAUGAAAACAACUUCAUAAUAGUCUGAGAUUACGAAAGAAGAAGCCUCUCACAGGUACUACUUUUUUUUUUUUUACCUGACUUGAUGUUUAAAGGAUUUUUGUGUUUAAUCUCUGUUUCAGUGAGCUGUGUGAGUGUACUGCCGCUGGCAGUCUGCGAAGACGUAUUCAUUUCUGUAGGAAGCCUCCCACCAUACUCCCUGUGGCCCUUGAUCCUCUCGCCACUCUGAGGUUUCUGGGCAAGGUGCCCAUGCUGGGGAGAAGAGGUCACAGAGACAUGGUAAAAAUCAUCAAAAUUGCUUAGUCUGGCAUCUCUGGAUGACUUAUUUGAGUGAUUUAUAUUCGUGUCACUCAAACUCAAUCUCUUUGUAGAAGAUAUAUCCUGGCUAAGUUCACAGGUGCUAGACUUCUGAAUUGUGUCCAUCUCUGGGGAGGAGCUGAAAGUUUUACUGUCUGAGAAGACCACGUGCAGACCUCCUGCUCUCAUUUUCUCUGGGGUGCGCAGGGAUGAACGCAGUUGUGAACAUGAUGAUAGGUCUGGAAAGAAGUAAAAACAUUACAGUGUGAAGAAAAAAAAACUAAUAACUGCAACACAGUCAUAUAAAGCACAUUUUGACUUGUGUUUUCCUUCCAAUCUUAGAUAAGAGAAAGAAACUAGACCUCUUAAUAACACCUGUGUCCACAGUAUGACUUCUGCUGCUGCUGUAUCAUGCUGCAAAGGUUCAGGAGUACAACAGGAUAAACACUCAAUAGACUGCCAAAACCACAUAGAUUUGAGGGUUUUAGCAUUGCUGGAAUCAGUGUGGAAAAGUCAUUUCAAUAUGUCAAUAUGUCAUAUGCAGAAAGGGAACACUCGAUUUGCCACCAUUAGGCUGAAACUCACUUGGAAAAUUCAACCUGAGCUGGACUCCAGUAUAGAAAUUGGGAAAACACAUUAAGUUAGCCACCUGUGGCUUGAUGUGCGUUAGAAAGGAAAUCACUGGAAGCAGGGAGAAUGUUUUUUCAGGAGAGAUUAAAAAUAAAUAAAUAAAUAAAUAAAGAGUUGGUCUGACCAUGGAGAUAAGACAUGAUAACAAAGAUAGGUCCUCUCCCUAGCAGUAAAAUCUCCCCAGCAUGGAACAGGCAUGUGUGCCUCUGUCAGACCCUUUCCAAAUCUUCAAGAGCUUCCUUUCCACUAGCUGCAAGAGCAGCCACAGACAGCACAGUUACCCACCAGGAUUUAAGACUUCCCUAAACUUCAGGUUCUUUCGAUGCUUUAUUUCCUUUUUGUUUGUAUUUUCCAAGUUACUGUCCUUUGGAAUACAACAAGAAUGAGAAAUCCCACCAGUCUAGUUUGGGAUCAAACCCCAAGUGAGCACAGAUGCAUUCUCUAAAGAUUUACAGUUUAAUGUUUAGCUAAGUAUAGGUAAAGCUCAUAGCAUAGGCACUGUUUAAACACAGAAUCUGUCUGAUAGCAAAGUUUUUAAACUGUGAAUGGAUUCAAACCGGAGAGGACAACAGUGACCAUCCAGCCUCCUGUAUAACCCAGGGCACAAAACUACCCUGAAUUAACCAUACACAAGAAAUCCAGCUUUGACUAAAACAUUCUCAGUGUCAAAAUCUCGCUGUAUUGAUAAUGCAACGAAAAGUACCAGUUUUUGCGCUGACAUCUUUAGAUACUGAAGACAUCCUUCCGCUUACUGCGUGGCUCUUCAUUAUAUUCUCCCUAGAGCAGCAACAUAAAACAGUUGAUUUAAUGGAAUUUUAAGUGGAGUCAGGUAUAAAACAUGAGUCUGACCAGCAGGAGCUGGUGGAUAACACGAUUAGACUCUUUACAUCCACAUUGUACCCUGGCGCACAGUUGAAGACGCAUCAUGCUUGGAUGUAUGUACAACCCCCAAAAUCAAUACAAAUGCUAGUCCCAGAAUGGGGUUAUUGUUUUAUACAUUUAUUUAUAUAUUAGCAUUUAAUUAUGUAUUCAGUUCUGUUUAUUAAUUUAUCAAUAGCUAUUCAUAAUCCAAAAGGAUUUUUUUUAUGUUAUCUGCCAUUGUUUAGCAUUAGUAAAUACAAUUACGUUAAAAGCCUUGAUAAAAUUUGUAGAUUGAUUUAGUUUGCUUGCAGAAUUGGUAUAAACCAUUAAAAUGAUGGUGAUAUGAACAUUUCCAACCUACCUAAUUUUCAGUUACUUUUCACAUCUGUGAAGCAGCAGCUGUUUAAAUUGCAUUUCUAAUAACUCACCAGCUCUGUGCACACAGCUGUAACCUGUGUGAUCAGCUAAUUUCCCCAGCAUUCACCCAGACCAGGUGAGAAGAAGGAUGUUGCAGUGGAAUGUGUGGGUUUCUUCAUCUCACUGGUCUUUGAAUUCACUUGGUUGUCUUUCAUCUGGAUUUCUAGAACAUGAUUCCUUCAGCUGAAAAGUAAGAUCUUAGAUAAUUCGAAGGAGGAGAAACAUGAUUUAUGUGUCCGACCUGCCGAUAUACCAGUAGCUCAAAGAACAUCUCCGAGUUACUGGAGAACGCGAAAAAGUACCAGCAAGCCCUCAGAGGUUUCUCCCAAAAU